This 165-nucleotide small nuclear RNA is filed under the name Dasypus novemcinctus (nine-banded armadillo). Its description in RNAcentral is "U1 spliceosomal RNA (ENSDNOG00000025978.1)". It matches the Rfam family "U1 spliceosomal RNA". From Rfam's summary of the family: U1 is a small nuclear RNA (snRNA) component of the spliceosome (involved in pre-mRNA splicing). Its 5' end forms complementary base pairs with the 5' splice junction, thus defining the 5' donor site of an intron. There are significant differences in sequence and secondary structure between metazoan and yeast U1 snRNAs, the latter being much longer (568 nucleotides as compared to 164 nucleotides in human). Lineage: Eukaryota; Metazoa; Chordata; Mammalia; Cingulata; Dasypodidae. The record is from RNAcentral.
ACACUUACUUAGCAGGGGAGAUACCGUGGUCAUGAAAGGGGCUUUCCCAGGUGGGGCUUGGCCAUUGCACUCCAGGUGUGCUGACCCCUGCCAUUUCCCCAAAUGUGGGAAACCCCACUGCAUACAUAUUUGUGGUAAAGGGAACUGCAUUCGCCCUCUCCCCUG